UACGUACUGUGCGAACGUUAUUCGGAAUCACUGGGCUUACAGGGUGCGUAGGCGGCCUGUUAAGUAGGGUGUGAAAGCCCCCGGCUCAACCGGGGAAUGGCGCCCUAAACUGGCGGGCUGGAGUGAGAUAGGGGUGUGUGGAACUUCCGGUGGAGCGGUGAAAUGUGUUGAUAUCGGAAGGAACGCCGGUGGCGAAAGCGACACACUGGAUCUUGUCUGACGCUGAGGCACGAAAGCCAGGGGAGCGAACGGG
Molecule: ribosomal RNA, 253 nt
Filed under: uncultured bacterium
Lineage: Bacteria
Description: partial 16S ribosomal RNA
Rfam family: Bacterial small subunit ribosomal RNA
Source: RNAcentral